AGCAGAGAUCUCAUCUUCUCCAGGCUGUGCGCGGCGCGUCAAUCUGAACGGAGGCGGGGUGAAGUUACGAGGUCUCGCUGAGAGCUCGAUGAUCCAAUGGCGUUACGAAGUUUUACUGACAAGUUAUUUUAAUGCUUAUCAUUGGUCUACUAUUUUUAAAACUCUCUGAUUUAAAAUAAUAAAAACGAAUUAUAAUCGACUCAAGUUUGGAUAAUUUUUCACAGCACCUGACUGGGCUAGGGUAUGGCAACUGCCAUACUCUGCCAUACGCAAACGCCGCCCCUGCUUGCUGCAAUGCCUGUAAAGUUAGCUUGAUGUUUGAUCACAGUAAUAGGGACCAUUGGGAAUGGCAUGCAAGCUGUUGUCAGGAAUGUUUUCAGUUGUGGAAUUCACCUCAGAUCACAGUGUAGCUGUAAUUCCUGAUGCAUGGAAAGAAAAAUUAGACCAGGACAUCUAUUGCUACUGGCCACCCAACAAUGUCCAAAGUCUAUUAAAAAAAAGGACUUUGCCUGAUAAAAUAAAGUGGAACAGACUACAAGUCCACAGAGUUUUUAAAUCCUCAGUUGACUACAUGACAGCCCAUAAGCUCAUGAGAAAAGCUCAAAUCACCUCGUGUCCUGAACUCUCAGACUCCUCCAUCACUGAGAAAAGGCUAACCAGGCUGAAGAGACCACCUUUACGCCUUUUAGAGUCAGAUAGUGAUAUCACAGAUAUUGAAGACAGUAAUAUCAACACCAGGCCACCAGCAAAAAUACCAACCCUUCCCUCUCCACCGAGAACAAUGGAACCAAGAAGGAACUCAUCCGAAACACCUGAGCCAUCACAGACAUGUGGGGGUCUUGACAGCUUGCCAAGAGCUGGAUUUUGUGGGGGCUACAGAGCAACUAUCAAUGCCGAUAGCACCCAUUCAAUGAGGCCACAACAUUUAGAUUUCUGCAAUACACCAAACUGGGAUGUCCAAAGUGAAGGACACAGGGUUAUGGCACAUCAAUUUGAAGAGAUGCCAGGGGGCUACAGAUCAGCUGUACAUAUGGAUAGCACUCAGUCAAUGAUGACACAACAUUUAGCACCAAGAAUGCAAGAAUGGAGUCAUGAACAUAAUUCAAAUGUGGAUCAACACCAACAUAAAUCAGCCUGGACAGCCAGUGGCAAUGGAAGCUGGACAGAUACUCAAAGACAAAAUUAUGACUUCAAUUCAAAUGGGCAAAAUUGUACAUCAAAUAACAGGGCAAUAAUGAAAUCACAACCUGGGUCUACUAGCAUGGAUGCUGAAAGCCAGAUUGCAGAGACCCUUAAACAUGCACCAGGUCUGGUUAGGAGAAAGGCUAAUCGAUCAGUUACUCCACAUUUACAAGAUGGCUCAUUGGACCUCUUCUCAUAAUUUUAAGUGUUAUCACUGUAGCUCCUGCUUUUUACACUACUUUACUGUAGUGUGGCAUUAUGGGAUUGCGCGCGCAUCGUUCAAAUCUGAAAUCCAGCCGACUGGAGCAGAGCCAGAACGAUCGAAGAUUAGAGGCUUUAUUCAUAAUUCCUGGUGCAAAGAAUAGCAGCUGAUGUGGAGAAAUGUUUGAUGCUUCAAGACUCUCUGAAGCUGAUUAUAUUAGGUGCACCCAGUGGCUUUUGACUAGGCCUAUUCGAGGGUCACAUGGUUGUGAAUUCAUACCUCAACUUUGCGGCUGGAUUUUCAGUCUUAUUACAACUUCAGCCUGGCGUCCCGAGAGCAGAGCUUUUGCACACUUGAAUUAAUUUCAAAGAUGUUUUGUAGGAAUCAAAACACUCACUGGAUACAAGACGGAUAUACAGAGGCAAAACAAGUGGAAAGGUCUCAGAGAAGAGGGACAACCCUCAUUUGUGUGCUUAUCUCAGAAAGUUGAUGGACUUUCAUUUUACCUGUGCCUGCCACCCACCAUUCUCUGUCUGCAUGGUUUUGACUUGUGCCUGGCGACUGGUUUCUGCGCUUGCCCUUUCCCACUGGAUUUGUUUAUCUUUAUUGGACUGUCUACUGACCUUCUCGUCUGCUCUCCCCUGUCCGCUGUGUUCUCCAGUCCCGAGUCGGCCUCAUCAGCUGGUGACCUGAUGACUGUUUCAGCUGCUUUUCUUUUGUUCAACAAAUGUUGUCAAAUGCUCUCAAAUUUGUAGUCUGUUAUAUUUGAGCUUAAUAUAAUUAAUAUACUCUAUAUUAAUGGGCUUUUUUUCUUCAAAUGUAUGUUUUGGUAGUGUAAUUAUAUGUAUGCAAUGUUUUAAUAAAGUUUGAUUAUAUGAA
This is an RNA transcript of Onychostoma macrolepis, 2263 nucleotides long. RefSeq lists it as uncharacterized. NCBI's taxonomy places the organism in Eukaryota, Metazoa, Chordata, Actinopteri, Cypriniformes, Cyprinidae. The transcript has 19 exons. The record is from RefSeq and is a predicted model, not a curated record.